This 833-nucleotide ribosomal RNA is filed under the name uncultured Staphylococcus sp. RNAcentral's name for it is "bacterial SSU rRNA". It matches the Rfam family "Bacterial small subunit ribosomal RNA", at positions 78 to 896 of the family's 1533-position model. Lineage: Bacteria; Bacillati; Bacillota; Bacilli; Caryophanales; Staphylococcaceae. The record is from RNAcentral.
UUGCUUCUCUGAUGUUAGCGGCGGACGGGUGAGUAACACGUGGAUAACCUACCUAUCAAGACUGGGAUAACUUCGGGAAACCGGAGCUAAUACCGGAUAAUAUUUUGAACCGCAUGGUUCAAAAGUGAAAGACGGUCUUGCUGUCACUUAUAGAUGGAUCCGCGCUGCAUUAGCUAGUUGGUAAGGUAACGGCUUACCAAGGCAACGAUGCAUAGCCGACCUGAGAGGGUGAUCGGCCACACUGGAACUGAGACACGGUCCAGACUCCUACGGGAGGCAGCAGUAGGGAAUCUUCCGCAAUGGGCGAAAGCCUGACGGAGCAACGCCGCGUGAGUGAUGAAGGUCUUCGGAUCGUAAAACUCUGUUAUUAGGGAAGAACAUAUGUGUAAGUAACUGUGCACAUCUUGACGGUACCUAAUCAGAAAGCCACGGCUAACUACGUGCCAGCAGCCGCGGUAAUACGUAGGUGGCAAGCGUUAUCCGGAAUUAUUGGGCGUAAAGCGCGCGUAGGCGGUUUUUUAAGUCUGAUGUGAAAGCCCACGGCUCAACCGUGGAGGGUCAUUGGAAACUGGAAAACUUGAGUGCAGAAGAGGAAAGUGGAAUUCCAUGUGUAGCGGUGAAAUGCGCAGAGAUAUGGAGGAACACCAGUGGCGAAGGCGACUUUCUGGUCUGUAACUGACGCUGAUGUGCGAAAGCGUGGGGAUCAAACAGGAUUAGAUACCCUGGUAGUCCACGCCGUAAACGAUGAGUGCUAAGUGUUAGGGGGUUUCCGCCCCUUAGUGCUGCAGCUAACGCAUUAAGCACUCCGCCUGGGGAGUACGACCGCAAGGUUG